This 494-nucleotide ribosomal RNA is filed under the name uncultured bacterium. RNAcentral describes it as "partial 16S ribosomal RNA". It matches the Rfam family "Bacterial small subunit ribosomal RNA", at positions 28 to 507 of the family's 1533-position model. The record is from RNAcentral.
GACGAACGCUGGCGGCGUGCUUAACACAUGCAAGUCGAACGGAAAGGCCUGCUUUCCCUUGUGGAUUGCGGGUACUCGAGUGGCGAACGGGUGAGUAACACGUGAGUGAUCUGCCCCCAACUUGGGUAUAAGCCUGGGAAACUGGGUCUAAUUCCCGAUAGGACUGCAGGGUGGUGCCUGUGGUGGAAAACGAUUUUCUAGUGGUUGGGGAUGAGCUCGCGGCCUAUCAGCUUGUUGGUGGGGUAAUGGCCUACCAAGGCGGCGACGGGUAGCCGGCCUGGGAGGGUGGACGGCCACAUUGGGACUGAGAUACGGCCCAGACGCCUACGGGAGGCAGCAGUGGGGAAUAUUGCACAAGGGGCGGAAGCCUGAUGCAGCGACGCCGCGUGGGGGAUGACGGCCUUCGGGUUGUAAACUCCUUUCGACCGCGAGGAAGCCACCUGGUUGGAAGGGUGGUGACGGUAGUGGUAGAAGAAGCACCGGCUAACUACGUG